ACCAAAAUGGCUGCCACGGCUAAAAAUAGAACAUAGGGGUAAAAUGCAGUUUUUGGCUUAUAACUCAAAAGCCGAAGCAUUUAGAGAAAAUCUGACAUGGGUUAAAUUGUCUAUCAGGUAUCUUUCUGCCCUCAAAUUUUUUAGUUAAUUUUUAGCAUUUUUCAUAAAUUUUUGUAAAUUUUUAGAAAAUAUUUUCCACUGUAAUUACUGGGCCAAGUUCAUUAUAGAUUGAGAUAAUUGUAGCAACAAGAAUGUUCAGUAUAGUAAGAUCUACAAACACAUCACCAUCACCAAAACACAGUUAUGUCAUGAAUUUAUCUGUGUCCAUUGUUUAAUAUGCACAUAGACCAAGGUGAGCGACACAGGCUCUUGAGAGCCUCUAGUUUGUUAUUAUCUUGAAUAUUAUUAUAGAUAGAGAUAAUUGUAGCAACACGAAUGUUAAGUAAGAUCUACAAACACAUCACUAUCACCAAAACACAAUUAUGUCAUGAAUUUAUCCGUGUCCAUUGUUUAAUAUGCACAAG
This 524-nucleotide long non-coding RNA is filed under the name Mytilus galloprovincialis (Mediterranean mussel). Lineage: Eukaryota; Metazoa; Mollusca; Bivalvia; Mytilida; Mytilidae. The record is from RNAcentral.